AUUGAACGCUGGCGGCAGGCCUAACACAUGCAAGUCGAACGGUAACAGGAAGAAGCUUGCUUCUUUGCUGACGAGUGGCGGACGGGUGAGUAAUGUCUGGGAAACUGCCUGAUGGAGGGGGAUAACUACUGGAAACGGUAGCUAAUACCGCAUAAUGUCGCAAGACCAAAGAGGGGGACCUUCGGGCCUCUUGCCAUCGGAUGUGCCCAGAUGGGAUUAGCUAGUAGGUGGGGUAACGGCUCACCUAGGCGACGAUCCCUAGCUGGUCUGAGAGGAUGACCAGCCACACUGGAACUGAGACACGGUCCAGACUCCUACGGGAGGCAGCAGUGGGGAAUAUUGCACAAUGGGCGCAAGCCUGAUGCAGCUAUGCCGCGUGUAUGAAGAAGGCCUUCGGGUUGUAAAGUACUCUCAGCGGGGAGGAAGGGAGUAAAGUUAAUACCUUUGCUCAUUGACGUUACCCGCAGAAGAAGCACCGGCUAACUCCGUG
Molecule: ribosomal RNA, 490 nt
Filed under: uncultured bacterium
Lineage: Bacteria
Description: partial 16S ribosomal RNA
Rfam family: Bacterial small subunit ribosomal RNA
Source: RNAcentral